AACUAGGUGGCCGAGUGCUUAAGGAGAUGGCAUGCUAAUCCGUUGGGCUCUGUCCGCGUGGGUUCGAAUCCCAUCCUCGUCU
This is a non-coding RNA of Stegodyphus mimosarum, 82 nucleotides long. Lineage: Eukaryota; Metazoa; Arthropoda; Arachnida; Araneae; Eresidae. The record is from Rfam.